Molecule: ribosomal RNA, 489 nt
Filed under: uncultured bacterium
Lineage: Bacteria
Description: partial 16S ribosomal RNA
Rfam family: Bacterial small subunit ribosomal RNA
Source: RNAcentral
GAUGAACGCUAGCUACAGGCUUAACACAUGCAAGUCGAGGGGCAGCAUGAACUUAGCUUGCUAAGUUUGAUGGCGACCGGCGCACGGGUGAGUAACACGUAUCCAACCUGCCGAUGACUCGGGGAUAGCCUUUCGAAAGAAAGAUUAAUACCCGAUGGCAUAGUUCUUCCGCAUGGUAGAACUAUUAAAGAAUUUCGGUCAUCGAUGGGGAUGCGUUCCAUUAGGUUGUUGGCGGGGUAACGGCCCACCAAGCCUUCGAUGGAUAGGGGUUCUGAGAGGAAGGUACCCCACAUUGGAACUGAGACACGGUCCAAACUCCUACGGGAGGCAGCAGUGAGGAAUAUUGGUCAAGGGACGAGAGUCUGACCCAGCCAAGUAGCGUGAAGGAGGACUGCCCUAUGGGUUGUAAACUUCUUUUAUACGGGAAUAAAGUGAGGCACGUGUGCCUUUUUGUAUGUACCGAAUGAAUAAGGAUCGGCUAACUCCGUG